UACAGAGGUCUCAAGCGUUGUUCGGAAUCACUGGGCGUAAAGGGUGCGUAGGCCGCACGGUAAGUCAGAGGUGAAAUCCCGGAGCUCAACUUCGGAAUUGCCUCCGAUACUGCCGUGCUUGAGGACUGGAGAGGAGAUUGGAAUUCACAGUGGAGCAGUGAAAUGCGUAGAUAUUGUGAGGAACACUAGUGGCGAAGGCGAAUCUCUGGACAGUUCCUGACGCUGAGGCACGAAAGCCAGGGGAGCAAACGGG
Molecule: ribosomal RNA, 253 nt
Filed under: uncultured bacterium
Lineage: Bacteria
Description: partial 16S ribosomal RNA
Rfam family: Bacterial small subunit ribosomal RNA
Source: RNAcentral